UAGGGAAUCUUCGGCAAUGGACGAAAGUCUGACCGAGCAACGCCGCGUGAGUGAAGAAGGUUUUCGGAUCGUAAAACUCUGUUGUUAGAGAAGAACAAGGACGUUAGUAACUGAACGUCCCCUGACGGUAUCUAACCAGAAAGCCACGGCUAACUACGUGCCAGCAGCCGCGGUAAUACGUAGGUGGCAAGCGUUGUCCGGAUUUAUUGGGCGUAAAGCGAGCGCAGGCGGUUUCUUAAGUCUGAUGUGAAAGCCCCCGGCUCAACCGGGGAGGGUCAUUGGAAACUGGGAGACUUGAGUGCAGAAGAGGAGAGUGGAAUUCCAUGUGUAGCGGUGAAAUGCGUAGAUAUAUGGAGGAACACCAGUGGCGAAGGCGGCUCUCUGAUCUGUAACUGACGCUGAGGAUCGAAAGCGUGGGGAGCAAACAGG
This 429-nucleotide ribosomal RNA is filed under the name Gemmatimonadota bacterium. RNAcentral's name for it is "Gemmatimonadetes bacterium partial 16S ribosomal RNA". It matches the Rfam family "Bacterial small subunit ribosomal RNA", at positions 355 to 776 of the family's 1533-position model. The record is from RNAcentral. Lineage: Bacteria; Pseudomonadati; Gemmatimonadota.